AUUGAACGCUGGCGGCAUGCCUUACACAUGCAAGUCGAACGGCAGCACGGGUGCUUGCACCUGGUGGCGAGUGGCGAACAGGUGAGUAAUACAUCGGAACGUACCUUAUCGUGGGGGAUAACGCAGCGAAAGCUGUGCUAAUACCGCAUACGCCCUGAGGGGGAAAGCGGGGGAUCGCAAGACCUCGCGCGAUUAGAGCGGCCGAUGCCUGAUUAGCUAGUUGGUGGGGUAAAAGCCCACCAAGGCGACGAUCAGUAGCUGGUCUGAGAGGACGAUCAGCCACACUGGGACUGAGACACGGCCCAGACUCCUACGGGAGGCAGCAGUGGGGAAUUUUGGACAAUGGGGGCAACCCUGAUCCAGCAAUGCCGCGUGGGUGAAGGAGGCCUUCGGGUUGUAAAGCUCUUUUGUCAGGGAAGAAACACCGGCUCUAACACAGUCCGGGAAUGACGGUACCUGAAGAAUAAGCACCGGCUAACUACGUGCCAGCAGCCGCAGUAA
This 501-nucleotide ribosomal RNA is filed under the name uncultured bacterium. Its description in RNAcentral is "partial 16S ribosomal RNA". It matches the Rfam family "Bacterial small subunit ribosomal RNA", at positions 29 to 523 of the family's 1533-position model. The record is from RNAcentral.